Molecule: ribosomal RNA, 468 nt
Filed under: uncultured bacterium
Lineage: Bacteria
Description: partial 16S ribosomal RNA
Rfam family: Bacterial small subunit ribosomal RNA
Source: RNAcentral
GAUGAACGCUGGCGGCGUGCUUAACACAUGCAAGUCGAACGGAAAGGCCAGUGCUUGCACUGGUACUCGAGUGGCGAACGGGUGAGUAACACGUGGGUGAUCUGCCCUGCACUUCGGGAUAAGCCUGGGAAACUGGGUCUAAUACCGGAUAGGACAAUGGUUUGGAUGCCGUUGUGGAAAGUUUUUUCGGUGUGGGAUGAGCUCGCGGCCUAUCAGCUUGUUGGUGGGGUAAUGGCCUACCAAGGCGUCGACGGGUAGCCGGCCUGAGAGGGUGCACGGCCACAUUGGGACUGAGAUACGGCCCAGACUCCUACGGGAGGCAGCAGUGGGGAAUAUUGCACAAUGGGCGCAAGCCUGAUGCAGCGACGCCGCGUGGGGGAUGACGGCCUUCGGGUUGUAAACUCCUUUCGCUAGGGACGAAGCGUAUUUGUGACGGUACCUGGAGAAGAAGCACCGGCUAACUACGUG